GACGAACGCUGGCGGCGUGCUUAACACAUGCAAGUCGAACGAUGAAGCUGGAGCUUGCUCCGGUGGAUUAGUGGCGAACGGGUGAGUAACACGUGAGCAAUCUGCCCUUGACUCUGGGAUAACUGCGGGAAACUGUAGCUAAUACCGGAUACGAGGCUCGAAGGCAUCUUCGGGUCUGGAAGGAAUUUCGGUCAAGGAUGAGCUCGCGGCCUAUCAGCUUGUUGGUGAGGUAAUGGCUCACCAAGGCGACGACGGGUAGCCGGCCUGAGAGGGUGACCGGCCACACUGGGACUGAGACACGGCCCAGACUCCUACGGGAGGCAGCAGUGGGGAAUAUUGCACAAUGGGCGAAAGCCUGAUGCAGCAACGCCGCGUGAGGGAUGAAGGCCUUCGGGUUGUAAGCCUCUUUUAGCAGGGAAGAAGCGAAAGUGACGGUACCUGCAGAAAAAGCACCGGCUAACUACGUGCCAGCAGCCGCGGUAA
RNAcentral lists this ribosomal RNA (483 nucleotides) under uncultured bacterium. Its description in RNAcentral is "partial 16S ribosomal RNA". It matches the Rfam family "Bacterial small subunit ribosomal RNA", at positions 28 to 523 of the family's 1533-position model. The record is from RNAcentral.